UACAGAGGUCUCAAGCGUUGUUCGGAUUCACUGGGUUUAAAGGGUGCGUAGGCUGAUUUGUAAGUCCGUGGUGAAAUCUCCAAGCUUAACUUGGAAACUGCCGUGGAUACUAUAAGUCUUGAAUGUUGUGGAGGUUAGCGGAAUAUGUCAUGUAGCGGUGAAAUGCAUAGAUAUGACAUAGAACACCAAUUGCGAAGGCAGCUGGCUACACAAAUAUUGACGCUGAGGCACAAAAGCGUGGGGAUCAAACAGG
This 253-nucleotide ribosomal RNA is filed under the name uncultured bacterium. Its description in RNAcentral is "partial 16S ribosomal RNA". It matches the Rfam family "Bacterial small subunit ribosomal RNA", at positions 524 to 776 of the family's 1533-position model. The record is from RNAcentral.